RNAcentral lists this ribosomal RNA (1486 nucleotides) under uncultured Bordetella sp. RNAcentral's name for it is "partial 16S-23S ribosomal RNA intergenic spacer". It matches the Rfam family "Bacterial small subunit ribosomal RNA". Lineage: Bacteria; Pseudomonadati; Pseudomonadota; Betaproteobacteria; Burkholderiales; Alcaligenaceae. The record is from RNAcentral.
AGUUUGAUUAUGGCUCAGAUUGAACGCUGGCGGGAUGUUUUACAGGUGUCGAACGGCAGCACGGACUUCGGUCUGGUGGCGAGUGGCGAACGGGUGAGUAAUGUAUCGGAACGUGCCUAGUAGCGGGGGAUAACUACGCGAAAGCGUAGCUAAUACCGCAUACCGCCCUUCGGGGGAAAGCGGGGACCUUCGGGCCUCGCACUAUUAGAGCGGCCGAUAUCGGAUUAGCUAGUUGGUGGGGUAACGGCUCACCAAGGCGACGAUCCGUAGCUGGUUUGAGAGAUGACCAGCCACACUGGGACUGAGACACGGCCCAGACUCCUACGGAGUGCGCAGGGGGAAUUUUGGACAAUGGGGGAAACCCUGAUCCAGCCAUCCCGCGUGUGCGAUGAAGGCCUUCGGGUUGUAAAGCACUUUUGGCAGGAAAGAAACGGCACGGGAUAAUACCCCCGUAACUGACGGUACCUGCAGAAUAAGCACCGGCUAACUACGUGCCAGCAGCCGCGGUAAUGCCGUGUAGGGUGCAAGCGUUAAUCGGAAUUACUGGGCGUAAAGCGUGCGCAGGCGGUUCGGAAAGAAAGAUGUGAAAUCCCAGAGCUUAACUCCCCUUUGGAACUGCAUUUUUAACUACCGAGCUAGAGUGUGUCAGAGGGAGGUGGAAUUCCGCGUGUAGCAGUGAAAUGCGUAGAUAUGCGGAGGAACACCGAUGGCGAAGGCAGCCUCCUGGGAUAACACUGACGCUCAUGCACGAAAGCGUGGGGAGAGCAAACAGGAUUAGAUACUCCCGGAGUAGUCCACGCCCUAAACGAUGUCAACUAGCUGUUGGGGCCUUCGGCCUUGGUAGCGCAGCUAACGCGUGAAGUUGACCGCCUGGGGAGUACGGUCGCAAGAUUAAAACUCAAAGGAAUUGACGGGGACCCGCACAAGCGGUGGAUGAUGUGGAUUAAUUCGAUGCAAACGCGAAAACCUUACCUACCCUUGACAUGUCUGGAAUCCCGAAGAGAUUUGGGAGUGCUCGCAAGAGAACCGAACACAGGUGCUGCAUGGCUGUCGUCAGCUCGUGUCGUGAGAUGUUGGGUUAAGUCCCGCAACGAGCGCAACCUUGUCAUUAGUUGCUACGAAGGGCACCUAAUGAGACUGCUGGCGACAAACCGGAGGAAGGUGGGGAUGACGUCAAGUCCUCAUGGCCCUUAUGGGUAGGGCUUCACACGUCACAAUGGUCGGGACAGAGGGUCGCCAACCCGCGAGGGGGAGCCAAUCCCAGAAACCCGAUCGUAGUCCGGAUCGCAGUCUGCAACCUGGACUGGUGAAGUCGGAAUCGCUAGUAAUCGCGGAUCAGCAUGUCGCGGUGAAUACGCUCCGGCCCGUACACACCGCCCGUCACACCAUGGGAGUGGGUUUUACCAGAAGUAGUUGUGCCUUAACCGUAAGGAGUGGCGAUUACCACGGUAGGAUUCAUGACUGGGGUGAAGUCGUAACAAGGUAG